Molecule: unclassified non-coding RNA, 146 nt
Filed under: uncultured Preussia
Lineage: Eukaryota; Fungi; Ascomycota; Dothideomycetes; Pleosporales; Sporormiaceae
Description: sequence contains ITS2
Source: RNAcentral
AAACCUUCAAGCUCAGCUUGGUGAUGGGUGACUGUCCUAACCACGGACUCGCCCCAAAAACAUUGGCGGCCGGUACUUUGGCUUCGAGCGCAGCAGAAACGCGAACUCGAGCCCAUUGUGCUGGCUCCCAAAAGCUAUCUUCACAA